GACGGAGGUGGCAAACGUUGCUCGGAAUCACUGGGCUUAAAGGGCGUGUAGGCGGUCCAUCAAGUCGGGUGUGAAAUCCCUCGGCGCAACCGAGGAACCGCAUUCGAAACUGAUGGGCUGGAGUGCGGGAGGGGUAAGUGGAACUCCAGGUGUAGCGGUGAAAUGCGUAGAUAUCUGGAGGAACGCCGGUGGCGAAAGCGACUUACUGGCCCGUAACUGACGCUGAGGCGCGAAAGCUAGGGGAGCAAACAGG
This 253-nucleotide ribosomal RNA is filed under the name uncultured bacterium. Its description in RNAcentral is "partial 16S ribosomal RNA". It matches the Rfam family "Bacterial small subunit ribosomal RNA", at positions 524 to 776 of the family's 1533-position model. The record is from RNAcentral.